GUGUCAGCCGCCGCGGUAAUACGUAGGUGGCAAGCGUUGUCCGGAUUUAUUGGGCGUAAAGCGAGCGCAGGCGGUUUCUUAAGUCUGAUGUGAAAGCCCCCGGCUCAACCGGGGAGGGUCAUUGGAAACUGGGAGACUUGAGUGCAGAAGAGGAGAGUGGAAUUCCAUGUGUAGCGGUGAAAUGCGUAGAUAUAUGGAGGAACACCAGUGGCGAAGGCGGCUCUCUGGUCUGUAACUGACGCUGAGGCUCGAAAGCGUGGGGAGCAAACAGGAUUAGAUACCCUGGUAGUCCACGCCGUAAACGAUGAGUGCUAAGUGUUGGAGGGUUUCCGCCCUUCAGUGCUGCAGCAAACGCAUUAAGCACUCCGCCUGGGGAGUACGACCGCAAGGUUGAA
RNAcentral lists this ribosomal RNA (395 nucleotides) under uncultured bacterium. RNAcentral's name for it is "bacterial SSU rRNA". It matches the Rfam family "Bacterial small subunit ribosomal RNA", at positions 505 to 898 of the family's 1533-position model. The record is from RNAcentral.